Molecule: long non-coding RNA, 937 nt
Organism: Trichechus manatus latirostris (Florida manatee)
Lineage: Eukaryota; Metazoa; Chordata; Mammalia; Sirenia; Trichechidae
Exons: 4
Source: RefSeq, a predicted model, not a curated record
UCUCAGCUUUAUUGGCUGUUGAUUUCAACCAAUCACCUGUGGUUUAGCCCCAGGGCUCUCUGGGAGACCGAGUCCGGGGUUCCAGGUCCCCGCCCAGGCUAUGCGCGUCUCUGCGAGAUUAUCCGGAAGUGGGGCCACUGGAGUCGGCUUUUAAGUUAAAAUCAUGUUAUUGAUUGGCCUGAUAUUUCCUCCCUUCCUGUGGGUGAAAGUCAGUAAUCUUCAAACUCACACAAGCAUGCAAAGUUGUUCAUUCAAUGCCUGACACCUACUAUGCGCCAAGUCCUGUGCUAAAGGACAAGCCCUACCCUCAGUGAUCUUGCAGUCUAAUGGCGGAGGCCGACUCAGCACAUCAUCACUGGCUUAAAGCAGGAGUAAGAAUCAGCAGCUCUGGAAGUAGAGACUAAUCCCAUGAAGGCUGGGCUAGGUUAGGGAAGUCCUCACAAAGGAAGAGGAAUCUGAACUAGACCUGGAAGGAUGUCACCACUGGAGAAGGGCCAAGAACUGUCUAGCACCUCAAACAACUGGAGGAAAGGAUGACGUUUUGUAAAUACUGCUGAGAAAGGCUACUAUUCAGAACUAGUCUUCCAUUUUUCGUGGCUUGUCUUGAAAAGACCCAUCCUGAGGUUUCCCAGAAGUUCACAGCUAUACAACAAGAAUUAUGCACAUGUGCAUUUCUUCUGACCAUUCUGUUUUACCAGUGAGGAAGUCUGAAUUGCUGUGAAGAUAACUUCUAAAAGAUUUGGAAAGACUUAAAGGCCAUUGGGAAUCCAUGGCUGGGGAAUCUCAUUAAUAAAUCACAACUACUCCCAGCCUCCAGCUUAAAAAGAAUAAUGCUUGUCAACAUUUCCAGAAAACAAACUGUGACUUCAGCUUUUAUUGCGUUCUGCUGGGAUCAACGAUUACAGAACCUCAGAAUCACAGAUCACUCUCCCCAUAG